GAUGAACGCUGGCGGCGUGCUUAACACAUGCAAGUCGAACGGAAAGGCCAGUGCUUGCACUGGUGCUCGAGUGGCGAACGGGUGAGUAACACGUGGGUGAUCUGCCCUGCACUUUGGGAUAAGCCUGGGAAACUGGGUCUAACACCAGAUAGGACCAUGCUUUGGAUGGUGUGGUGGAAAGUUUUUUCGGUGUGGGAUGAGCUUGCGGCCUAUCAGCUUGUUGGUGGGGUAAUGGCCUACCAAGGCGUCGACGGGUAGCCGGCCUGAGAGGGUGUACGGCCACAUUGGGACUGAGAUACGGCCCAGACUCCUACGGGAGGCAGCAGUGGGGAAUAUUGCACAAUGGGCGCAAGCCUGAUGCAGCGACGCCGCGUGGGGGAUGACGGCCUUCGGGUUGUAAACUCCUUUCGCAACUGACGAAGCUUUUUGUGACGGUAGGUUGAGAAGAAGCACCGGCUAACUACGUG
This 467-nucleotide ribosomal RNA is filed under the name uncultured bacterium. RNAcentral's name for it is "partial 16S ribosomal RNA". It matches the Rfam family "Bacterial small subunit ribosomal RNA", at positions 28 to 507 of the family's 1533-position model. The record is from RNAcentral.